CAAGUGACACGGGAUGGGGACAUCAUAACCAUGUAUUGCCUCUCACCCUCUUCCUAGUCUCCAAACCCACUCAGCAUUACUAGAGCCUGGAGCACCAGAAUCAGGGGAGUCACAGUUCAAUGUCUCAGGCCAUACCACAGCCUGAGCGAGCUAGAUAGGAAGAGUGUAAAAGGCCUCCAUUUCAAGGAGCGGGUAGGUAACACUGAAAUGAAUGCCAGCUCAUUCAUAAGCAGGACCAAGGAUUAGAAGUAACUGCAGCUACUCAAUAAUUGAGGUCUACUGUUUUCUAUGCUCUGUACUGAGCACUUUACAUUAUCUCACUUAAUCCUCACAAGCCCCUUUUAAAGGAGAAACUGCUAUCAUUGCCAUUUUAUAGAUGAAAUAACAGAAAGAGAUUAAGAAAGCCACCCAAGACACAGGGCAGUUAAACAGAGUACCGUGCAACCCCCAGCCAUUUCACUCCUAGGUAUCUACCCAGGAGAAAUGAAAACCUGUGUCCACACAAAACCUCAAACACAAAUGUUCACAGCAGCAUUACUUGUAAUAGCUGAAUAGUAGAAGCAACCAGUGUCCCUCAGCAGAUGAAUGGAUAAACAAUCUCUAUGAUGGAUUAUUAGUUGGCCAUAAAAAGGAGUGAAAUCCUGACACAUGGAUGGACCUUGAAAGCAUUAUGCUAAGUGAAAGACAGUGACAAAUGCACACAUAUCUUACAAUUCUUUUUGUCAUGAAAUGUCCAGAAUAGGCAACUGUGUAGAGACAGAAGGUAGAUUAGUAGUUAGUUGGGGCUGGAGAGAUAGAAAAGUGGAAAUUGUGUGGCGUUUCUUUUUUGAGGUGAUGAAAAUUGUCCUAAUGUUAAACAUAGUUGUAAAUAUACUAAAAGCCACUGACAUGUAUACUUUAAAUGGGUCAAUUAUAUGGCAUGUGCAUUAUAUCUCAUAAAGCUGUUAUGGAGGGGCGGGGAGCAUCCCACUUCCAGGAUAUGACAUGCAGGUAGGAUUUGGAUGCAGGCAGUUUGCUUUCCCUCAGCUGCCUUGUGGGCUGUACACCAUCUUGCCUUCCAGGUCUCCCAAGGCCCAGUGAGGCGUCUGGAAACUGCAUGGAUUCACGAUGGUCUGCAGCAAUCCACAUAAUUAAAAUUAACAGAGAGAACCUACUGUGUACCUUGCAGAGAAUGGAAUCUGUCUUGAGAAAUAGCUGCACAGCAAAGAUAAAUGCUUAUAUGGGAUUGUUCUUUGCCGAAUUGUUCAUUCUGGAAAGUUGCUGACGACUAAAUGCCCCUCACCAGAGGUUUACAGCAACGCUGGGAUGUCCCUACAGCUGGCAGUUACGACAGAUAAGGGAAGAAACAGAAGUUCUUGGCCAUGGUCUCACAGUGAAGCAGGAAGAAGCCUGGAUUCACUCCCAAGUCCUGGAGAUACUCUCUAUUGCCUGUCCCCCCCAAUACACAGCCCCUGGCUGGAUGGAGAGAGAUGCCCACAGGAAAAGCUGCCUAGGACUCUACUGCUGGGCCUGGCAAGCAAGCCCUCCUAACAGAACAUUGACACUCCCUUCCUUCAACCUGAAGCUGCUCCUUAGACUUUUGGCUUGCUUGUAACCAAUCAAAUUCAGCGGAAGAGUUACCAGGUAACUUCCAAGGCUAGGUCUUACAAGGGGAUGCAGCCUCAGAGUAGCUGAAGCACUCUUCCCUGGAGCUCGGAGCCACCCUGUAAGGAGGCUGACUACCCUGGGGCUGUAGGGCAGCUGGAGAGGUCACCUGGAAAGGACAUACACAGGGGCUCUGCCGUGGCCUCAUCUAGGCGCGUGAACUACUUUCAGGUCAUUUCAUCCCUCUGAAGUCCUAUCACUGCCAGUCCUUGAUUCUUUCCAGCUGAGACCGCAGACUUAUAGAGAAGAGACAAGUGUACUUGCCAUGCUAUUUCUGAUGCUGGCAUAGAGAAUCAACAACCAGAAUAAAAUGGUUGUUCUAUGCCAUUAGGUUUGGGGUAACUUGUUAUGUAGCAAAGGUAACCAGAACACUUAAUGCUUGGCAAUGCACAAAGAAAUCCUUGUAUGUGCCUCUACACGUAAGCCAGUUCUUUCUUUCUUUCUUUCUUUUUUUUUUUUUUUGAGACAGAGUC
Microcebus murinus (gray mouse lemur) is the source of this 2117-nucleotide non-coding RNA. The record is from RefSeq and is a predicted model, not a curated record. NCBI's taxonomy places the organism in Eukaryota, Metazoa, Chordata, Mammalia, Primates, Cheirogaleidae.